CUUUCCCCACAAUGGUCCAGCAAAAUGCCCAUUAGGAAGGCAGGAAUGUAAUACUUUCCCCCAUUAUACAUUUCGUAACUUAAGAGCGUGUUGUAGGAAUUUACUGCCAUUCAUUUUAAGUGGGUGAUCCUCUGUCCUAGUAUUAUGAGGCUGAAGUAUUUAUGUCCCCUUUGCACUGUUUUAAUCUUUAUCAUGCCCCUUAAUUAUCUUCUCCUUCUUGAGAUUUUGAGGUAGGGAACAUUUCAAUCUUGCAGCUGUUCUGUUCACCAUACCUGCAAUCCCAAAGGCAGAAUAUUCCAGGAAAUGUGUGCUGAAAGGGUCAUCAGUCGUAGAUACAUUGUUAGGGGUGCACUUAUGCAUUAAGUACAAUUUAUUGUGCCUUUUCCUUUUUAUCAGUAGCACGAAUGAGGGUUGGGGGAUGUUCAGCUGCUGCGUAUUAAUAAACCUCUUUGUGACCUAAGCUAUUUCAAUGUGUUGAACAUGUCAUGGGGUUGCCACAGUAACUUCUCUGAGAUAUUCAAUGUCCAUAUCAAGACUGUAAUUCAGCUUCUUGGUCAUUUUUGAAGAAAUCUCCACCCAGUUCCAGAUCUCGUCCUCAUGGCCCAUCAGUGUAAAGCAAAGACUUCAGUGGCCAGAAAAUGCAGAAGGAAAAGGAAUCACAUCGUGUUGGUGUUCCUCUGGAUUAAGAAGGUGGCUGAAACAAAGGAACUAUGUCCUACAUCGCCUGGACUUUGUGUUUCUCUGCCCUCUGUGAGCAACCCCCCCCCCCAAUCUCCUCUUAUUCCACAAGGAGCAAAACCCAAUCUGUAGGUACUAUUCCAUGUUUCAGGCAUAGGGAGAGCGAACUCACUCAAAAAUCCUGACAUCUGCCAUUUGUCGACAAGCUGGUAGGAAAUCCUACAAGGGUUGCAAGAGAAGGAGACAAGCAAAGACAACAGAAAUAGAAAGUGAGGUAAGGGCUAGGCUGCAGACUGUCGAUAGUUAGGAUUAACAGCUGGGACAAAACCCUGACUUCUUCCAUGCAGGGGGACACAUCUGGAAAUCCUACACAUUUUGAUUUUGGAAGGGGAUAAAUCUGCCGCUUGGUUCAUCAGUGGGAUAUAUUUACCAGUGUAUGCUGUCACUUGAUGUUAUCAUAGAGGUGAGGAAGAUAUAUAUCCCCUUCAGGGAUUGGACGGGAUAGAAAUCCAACAAAUAAAUAAAUAUUUUAAUGACUUAUGAAGCCCACCCUUGGCAGUCACUUAUCGCAAAAGAAAUCAGGUCCAAUACCACAGUUAAUGGCAGGCUGAGGCAACCCAAAACAGAUAAACAUUUUUCACUGCACCUCUUCCAGAGCAACCACAGAAUCAAAGGGACUGUGAUCGCAGCACUAAUUAAGCUUGUUAUUUUAUAAUUACAUAGUAGUCAUACCAGUAAGAGGGAAUAAUUUCAAUUCUAAAUUUAUUAAUCCAAUUUGAACAAGGACAGAGGGCACUUGCAGUAGCAAAAUGUAAUCUAAUGCCCUCAGCUUUACUAUGUGGCAGGUGUUUAAAAAAAUUGGUAGGGCUGAGAGAAUUUGCCCCUGUAAUCAGGGACAAGUGGAAACUAACAUAUUUUCUUUCACUGUCCCAGAUUUGUCAAAGUUCAAGAAUAAUAUGCCACAAUUAUUCUGUUGUUUCAGGAGGAUUCAGUUGAUAUAAUGGCAAUCCCAUCUUUAUUGAAUAAUUGUGAUCUUAUGUUUUGUAAAGUGAUGGCAAUUUUUUAAAGAGCUGAUAGAGCUAAUGAAAUAGUAGCAUUGUAUUUAUGGGUACUGUACUAAUUGUAAUCUUUUUUCUCUUGUUUCUAUAUUUUAUGUAUUUUAUAUAGAUUUUAUCUGUUAGUUUUAGUAUGCCAAUAAAGACUUUGAAGUUUGAAGUGAGAUAAAUUACUGGUAUUUUAACUGUGCCAGGUAAUUGAACAGUGUGGCACAAUAGGAUAUAAUGGGGAAAUUUUUUAAGAAUGCGAGUGUGUGGGGACUGGGCAUACACAGCUUUUGCUAACUUUCAGUAAAAUGUGCUCAAAAGGGCAGA
Long non-coding RNA from Sphaerodactylus townsendi, 2048 nucleotides. RefSeq lists it as uncharacterized. The transcript is spliced from 2 exons. Lineage: Eukaryota; Metazoa; Chordata; Lepidosauria; Squamata; Sphaerodactylidae. The record is from RefSeq and is a predicted model, not a curated record.